UACGUAGGGUGCGAGCGUUGUCCGGAUUUAUUGGGCGUAAAGGGCUCGUAGGCGGCGUGUCGCGUCGGGGAGUGAAAGCCCGUUGCUUAACGGCGGGUUGGCUUUCGGUACGGGCAUGCUGGAGUGCGGCAGGGGGAGACUGGAAUUCCUGGUGUAGCGGUGAAAUGCGCAGAUAUCAGGAGGAACACCGGUGGCGAAGGCGGGGUCUCUGGGCAGUAACUGACGCUGGAGGAGCGAAAGCGUGGGGGAGCGAACAGG
RNAcentral lists this ribosomal RNA (258 nucleotides) under uncultured bacterium. RNAcentral describes it as "partial 16S ribosomal RNA". It matches the Rfam family "Bacterial small subunit ribosomal RNA", at positions 524 to 776 of the family's 1533-position model. The record is from RNAcentral.